UGGUGGAGUGAUUUGUCUGGUUAAUUCCGUUAACGAACGAGACCUCAGCCUGCUAAAUAGUCCGUUGAACGCUUUUGUGUUCAUUACGGAGCUUCUUAGAGGGACUUUCUGUUUCCAGCAGACGGAAGUGUGAGGCAAUAACA
RNAcentral lists this ribosomal RNA (143 nucleotides) under uncultured eukaryote. RNAcentral describes it as "partial 18S ribosomal RNA". It matches the Rfam family "Eukaryotic small subunit ribosomal RNA", at positions 1299 to 1458 of the family's 1831-position model. The record is from RNAcentral.